Long non-coding RNA from Panthera uncia (snow leopard), 405 nucleotides. RefSeq lists it as uncharacterized. The transcript has 3 exons. The record is from RefSeq and is a predicted model, not a curated record. NCBI's taxonomy places the organism in Eukaryota, Metazoa, Chordata, Mammalia, Carnivora, Felidae.
AAAAUGGAAUCACAGAGGAGAGCUUCUGCUCUAAUUAAUUUUUCCCUUGGUUAGAAUAUCAGCCUUCUCAUCUCUGCUGCCCUCAUCAGAACCACCUGAAGGAUUUUUCAUCUUACUUUAUGAAAGUCAGAAGGCUGUUUUUACUGUCCUAAUUCUAAAUUGACACAGAAGGCCUGCAGAGUGUGUAGAUGUGUUCUCUGGAGAAAAACAACUAGGAAACUGAGCAGAAUAUGAAUGUCAUGUAAAAGAAAGAUACAAUGUCCAAUUACAUUAAAUAAAAUGCUCUAAGUGAAUAUAUUUUUGAUGAAAGUAUUUUAGACCAUUUCAAUGAAAUCUGUUCUUGACUUUAUGGUUUGUAUGCAUCCUAGACCAUUAUUAAUUUAGGUGGAAAACACUAUUAGUAUG